Protopterus annectens (West African lungfish) is the source of this 312-nucleotide long non-coding RNA. RefSeq lists it as uncharacterized. The record is from RefSeq and is a predicted model, not a curated record. Lineage: Eukaryota; Metazoa; Chordata; Ceratodontiformes; Protopteridae. The transcript is spliced from 4 exons.
AACAGGAAGUGAGUAACUGCAGAAAGUUGAGUUAGAGAGGUUUGUUUCUUGUGUAGACAUUACAGAAAUACUUAGAUUUGUGUGUCUGUUUAUCAUUCUUCUGGUUUGUAUCUCAUGCGAGCAGUAGCUGCUUCACUUCCUGAAUAGUGCACUGCAUCAUGAAACUGGAGGUGCCAGAAAGUUUUGAAGAUGUUGCUGUUGAAUUUUCAAGGGAGGAGUGGGAGAUGCUGAGUGAAAAGGAGAAGAAGCUACACCAGGAAGUGAUGGUGCAGAACUUCGAUCACAUGAUAGAUGUCGGGUAUGACAUCCCAG